GGAAAGAAAGCUUAGUUCAUUUGACUUGCUUCUAUUUUGUCUUGCUAUGCACAUAUGAAUAGUGCAUCCUUAUCAACCAUUUUCCACUCUGGAUGCCACAUUAGGAACUGCAGUAAAAUUUGAGCUGCCUUAUUUUCCGUUAGUUAAAUGUUUAACUUGAUAUUUACAUAACUUCAAGAGUUAUGCUUUAAGUUGUCUCGUCUCCCUACCAAGUUUAACUUCUGCUCUUUUUUUUUUUUAAUUAUUUAUCAGGU
Molecule: unclassified non-coding RNA, 254 nt
Filed under: Hevea brasiliensis (rubber tree)
Lineage: Eukaryota; Viridiplantae; Streptophyta; Magnoliopsida; Malpighiales; Euphorbiaceae
Source: RNAcentral